GGUUAUACAAACUCAAUCACAGUGUGAGAUGACAACAAUGAAAAGAUUUAAAUUU
RNAcentral lists this non-coding RNA (55 nucleotides) under Trypanosoma lewisi. Lineage: Eukaryota; Euglenozoa; Kinetoplastea; Trypanosomatida; Trypanosomatidae. The record is from RNAcentral.